Molecule: ribosomal RNA, 248 nt
Filed under: Vibrio parahaemolyticus
Lineage: Bacteria; Pseudomonadati; Pseudomonadota; Gammaproteobacteria; Vibrionales; Vibrionaceae
Description: partial 23S ribosomal RNA
Rfam family: Bacterial large subunit ribosomal RNA
Source: RNAcentral
ACGAACCUCUGGUGUUCGGGUUGUGUCGCCAGACGCAUUGCCCGGUAGCUAAGUUCGGAAUCGAUAACCGCUGAAAGCAUCUAAGCGGGAAGCGAGCCCUGAGAUGAGUCUUCCCUGAUACUUUAAGUAUCCUAAAGGGUUGUCGGAGACUACGACGUUGAUAGGUCAGGUGUGUAAGUGCUGUGAGGCAUUGAGCUAACUGAUACUAAUUGCCCGUGAGGCUUAACCAUACAACACCCAAGGGGUUU